CAAAUUCUUCACAAGCCUUUGAAAUCUUGUGAACAACUUCCAAGGAUGAAGGGUUGUUGUUAUUGUGAUCAUAGUAACUCAAAUCAAUUAUUGGUAUUGAGUCUAAAGAAGUGACUUGUGAAAGGUUUGGUCUUUUGUGUUCUGGGAGGAUGAAAUUUGGAGUUAAGGAUAAGGGAGAAGAUUCAUUGGCUAAUUGGAAAGAAUUCAUCUUGUGUUAGAAAUUUUGAUAUUGAAGUUCAUUCAAGAAACAAUGGGAAUAAUAUUUAUUUAUAUCUUAUUUGAUUAAGUAAAUUAUACUAUACUACUAGUUGAUGGUAACACACUAACUUGCAGGGACCACCACCAGCCCACCAGAAUUGAUCAAAGGAUUAAGAUGACUUUCUAGGAGCAUUAUUAAAGAGUUGACUAUUAACUUUCUAGUCUUUUUUAGGACAUAAGUUGACUUUUUAGGUCUUGUUUAUUUGAAAAAUGUAAAUUAGUGUAUAUAUUUGGUAACAUAAAUAAGUUAGCUUAUAAUUUAUUGAAUUUGCUUUUAAGUUUGUUUGAUAAAAUAAAAUGUGUUUGACGGAAAAUUUUUAAUUUGACUUGUAGCUUUUUUUGAAAUGUUAUUUUUGUGUCUAAAACUUAUAGUUUUUUGCCUUUUAUUUCAAUUUUAAUCUUAUUAUUUAAAUUUUAUUAUUUUAUUAUUUUUUUAAAAAUGUAAUAACUAGUUAACUACCCGUUAAUCAUGUAUUUAUAUUAUUUUAUAGGGACUAAAAAUAAAAUUUAAAAUAUUUAUACUAACCAAAAACUUAUUUAACUCUUUAAAAUACAGAGAAUGCUCUUUUCAAUAUAAAGAUUACUUUUUUUAGUUUCAUUAAUUAGGCACUAAAAACAUUAGUACUCCCAAGCUAAAACUACGGAGGACUAAUCUUCGCUUGUUCAAAAACAAAACAGAUAUAGACACACUUAUUAAACACAAAUACGACACAUAUUUCACUGUUUUUUUUAUAGUUUAUACCUCCUCAUUUGUUCUCUCUCACUCAUUGUUCUCUAUGUCUCUAGUGAAGAAGAAAUGUGACGUUUUUGCCAAAUUGUCCUUAAUUUUAAGGAUUUAAAUGUCAAAAGUGUCCAUAUUUGUGUUUGAUUUUGUGUGUUAUCAUUCACAAAAACCAAAUAAAAGUUUAACCAACACAUUUUUUUACGUGAAUCAAACUUAGGAACACUAGGUUGACGGUACCGGUCAUAGAGCUAGCAUGUUACUCCACUAUGCCAAUUGGUUACUAGGCAUGAUUCAUAUUAAUCUAUGGUUAAAAUCGAGCCGUACAUGGUGAAAGACCCACCUCGAUUUUUCACUCUAGACUUAGUAUUCUCUUGAAAGUACGAGUCCUAGAGUAUGCUACUCCACUAUACCAAUUGGUUACUAGGUAUGAUUCACAGUAAUCUAUAUAUGGUUAAAAUCGAGCUGUACAUGGUGAAAGACCCACCUCACAUUUUCACUAUAGACUUAGUAUUCUCUUGAAAAGAGCAUGUUACUCCACUAUGCCAAUUGGUUACUAGGUAUUAUUUUAACCAUAGAUCACGUGAAUCAAAUUUAGCUAGAAACACUCUGUUGACGAUAUGAGUCCUAGAGCAUGUUACUUCACUAUGCCAAUUGAUAACUAGGUAUCAUUCAUAGUAAUCUAUAUAUGGUUAAAAUCGUGUCGUACAUGAUGAAAGACCCACCACACUUUUUCACUCUAACUUAGUAGUUUCUCUUGAAAGCGGUGUUGCAUUACAUCCAACUUUUGCAGUGUAUUUUAUGAGUAGGUACAUAUGCCGUUCAUUGGCUCGACAUAACAAUAAAAAUAGUAGUAGGUACAUUAUUGAAAAUCCAGCAUUGUUUAAAAUUUAAUUUGAAUGCAAUCAUAGUGCAAAAUAACUUUGCACAUAUAUCCAAAUAAUUUUAGAAAAUAAUAUCAUAAUAUUUACAUCAUCAAUGCAUACAAAUUAAACUAUUUUAUUUAUCUUCUAGCUUGAAGUUUUCUUUCACCAUCUUCCCAGUUCUUUUUGGCUUAUAAUAUUCUUCAACGAAUUCAGAGAAACGAUAAUUUCUGAAUUUGAUAGGAUGUUCUUCGUCGAUCAAUUCUUGAAUUGGCCCAAUUGAUGUGUUUGGGUUUGGCCCAUAAAACAUAGCCAUUGAAACUCGUGGAUGCACAGUGUUGGUAACUGCCCUAUGAAGUACACUUUUGUAUCUUCCAUUGCUUAGAACCUACAUAUACAUGUCACAUUUUAUGCAUUUGUUUCACGUUAUGACUCAAUUUUUAUACAUUGUUAGUAAAUGAAUUGAUGAAGUUGAAGAACUAUAUAUGCACACAAAGUAUAAAACAUUUUUACAAUCAUCCAAUUAGAUUUUACUACAAUGUUAAUUUGAUAGAGAAUUAUCAUUCAUUCAUAUGCCACUAUCGUGGUCGAUUAAUAUUACUUCUAGUCGUAAGAGUUUGACAUUAGAGUCUUAAGCGGUGAUAGUGUAAAAGGCACACCAAUGACGUGUGAAAAAAAUAGCUAGGAAAAGCACAUCAAUGGCACAUACCUCAAUUUGAUCAGCUAGAUUGAUAACAAAAGCAUUAGGAAUACAAGGGAUAGAAAUCCAUUUUCCAUCUUUGUUAACUUGAAGACCAGAAACUUCUGAUUGCAAAAGGACAGUGAUAGCAUUAAAAUCAGUAUGUUCUUGGAGACCCAUGGUCAACUCAGGAUCUGGACAUGGUGGAUAGAAAUUUGCUUGUGCCCUUAGUCUAGGCUGCUCACCCACCUUCUUCAACAAAAAAUCUUCCUCUAAGCCAAGCCCUAUUGAUAUCAAACUCAAAAGCCUUUUCACCAAUGAACCAAUCUCUUUUUCAUAGUCAGUGAAAGCCUCCCUAUGAAAUGCAAAAGUCUAAAUUGCUUGUGAUCACAUUUUUCAAAAAAUGGCUGCAAUAUGAGCCAUGACAUUAAAGUUUUUGAUAUUAUUGAAGAUAGUUAGUUUACAUUUUUUACUACUUGUAACUUACUUUCCCGCCAAGUAACUCUAGGUUGGUUAGUUAGUUCAAUAGAAGCAAUUGCUAUCUUGUGUGAGCUAUAAGUACAACUUUUAAGCAUUCUUUCAAGCCAAUGAGAAUCAUUUUUCUCUUUCCUUUUUUUCAUUCCUAACAGUGUUUCCUUCAUGGAUCUAACAAACUAUGAAUCCUAACAAACUCAACAGAUAUCUCUGUAACUACAACACAAACACAGUUGAGGUUGUGUUGGGAAAAUUUGACCGUAAUUUUUUGCAAUAUUUAUGGAUCGUAAUGCGUUAUAUCGGUCACAUUGGUAGCAACUAACUUAUCAAUUUGUUCAACUAAUGCCAUACUCUAAUUAAGUGCUUACGGCAUAAAAGAUUAUCAUAAGUGUUUAUUUAUAAGCUAUUUCUAUAACAAAAGAUAAAACAAAAUCAAACUGUUUUUAUAUGAGUUGUUUUCAGAAGUUACCGAAAUAACCUAAAAAAUAACUAAUGGACGUUUCCAUAAGCUCUCGCAAAUGGUCUAACAAUUGUUUAUAUGACAGUAGAUAAACUCAACAAGUAUAGUCAAAUAUAUACUAAAUUUAGAAUGGUAGAGUCAAAUGGAAAAUUCCUCACCUAUAUUGAGUACCAAUUUGUUCUGGUAGAAGAUGAAUGAUAUCAUCAAUAGGAUACCAAAAAUGACUAAAACAUUCACUCCACAUUUUGACCUUUUCUCCACCUUCCACUUUAAGGCAAAAAUUGACCAAUCUUACAUUCUUGGUAUGAUCUGUUGAUGAAAGUUGUUCUCUUUCUUCUGGUGGCAACCCAAAAAGACUAGUAAUUGCUUUCAUCAUAUUGUUGCAAACUUGUUCAGGAACACCAUGGUUUACAACUUGAAAGAAACCAAAUUCUUCACAAGCCUUUGAAAUCUUGUGAACAACUUCCAAAGAUGAAGGGUUGUUUUCAUCAUAGUAACUCAAAUCAAUUAUAGGUAUUGAGUCUAAAGAAGUGACUUCUGAAAGGUUUGGUCUUUUGUGUUCUGGGAGAAUGAAAUUUGGAGUUAAGGAAAGGGGAGAAGACUCAUUGGCUAAUUGGAAAGACUUCAUGUUUUCAGAAAAAAUUGAGAUUGAAGUUCAUC
This 4115-nucleotide long non-coding RNA is filed under the name Trifolium pratense (red clover). RNAcentral describes it as "long non-coding RNA (TPRA_LNC002337)". Lineage: Eukaryota; Viridiplantae; Streptophyta; Magnoliopsida; Fabales; Fabaceae. The record is from RNAcentral.